This is a long non-coding RNA of Dunckerocampus dactyliophorus (ringed pipefish), 3789 nucleotides long. RefSeq lists it as uncharacterized. The record is from RefSeq and is a predicted model, not a curated record. The transcript has 12 exons. Lineage: Eukaryota; Metazoa; Chordata; Actinopteri; Syngnathiformes; Syngnathidae.
GGGGAAACCGGAAGUAAACACUCUGUUGAAGCUUCGAGUGAGUAAUGGUAAUGUGCUAAUGAAGCAAGAAAUAGUUCAUAGAUAUGACUGAACACCGCUGUUCCUGCGUCCAUGCAAGGAUGCCUACACGCUAUCUGCAGUUCAUCUUGUGCACUUCAAGGAAGCAUGCAAGAGAAGGCCUCAGGAUUGGCUGGCGACCAGUCCAGGGUGUACCCCGCCUGUCUCCGAAGUCAGCUGGGAUAGGUUCCAGCAUACCCCGCGAGCCUAGACGAUGGAUGGAUUCCUGUACCUCCUGUGAUUCCUGCUGGAUCCUGGAGUCUUCCUGAUCUCCUGAACAUGUGGCCAACAUGCUAACCACUAGGUCAACGUGCAGCCCGUAUUUCAAGUCUUUUUACAAUAUUUACUCAGGAGAUAACUCCAAAGAUACCUAGAGGGAUACACUGCAGUCCUCUACAGCCAUGCAUGACCCGAUUAGCUGCUUCUUACAGGGAUCAGACACUGUUAACACACCAUGAAUGCUAAACCACGGCGGAUCCUAUGGUUGCAGGAAUUCCCGGAGCUCAUGCAACUUCGGCAUCCUGAGGAUACAAAACGGUGUAAUGGACCAAACCGAAUACAGUACCACGUGGUGGAAAUGCGGCAAAAGUAACUCCAGAAAAAAGGUGUCUACGUGAGGUAAGACGUUCAGGUUCAGGUUGUCUUCGAAAAUGUUUUGCCACUCAUCCAAGCAGGCUUCUUGCUCGAAGACUAGAUGUGGCAACUCUAAUCCAAGGGAAGGGUAUAGGUAAGUAUUUAUUCUGUAAGGUAGAGGCACACACCAACCAAGAUUGAUUUCACUCUUUUGGGGACACAAAACAACAGUUAAGAUACAGUGAAGUGAGGCGUCUGACUAGUUUGGGUGGAAUCACCUUCGUUAGCAUUCCAUUCAGUCGUAACAAUGGGCAUGGAUGUACCUGACGACUAAAAGUGGCUGUGUCGUGUUUAUUUAUUUGAGGCUAAAUGUUUGAAUCUUUUCGGAAGGGAUAUACGGACAGCAUUGUAUGUGUGGGAGAGGUAGUGCCGUAGACUUCCCCCUGUGUUCAGAGAUGGCUUUUCAACCUUGACAUAGAUGGCUUCACUCACUCCUCUUUCAAAGCGUCUUCUCUGUCCAGAAUAUGUACAUUUUUGUCCUCAAAAGAGUGCUGUUUCUCUUUUGAAGUGCGGGGACAGCGGAGUUCUGACCUGAAGAGUUAUCCCGUCCGUGUUGUUUACUUGUUAAAGUAGACUCAAACGGUGUCUAUUGGCGUGGAGGCAAGGACUUGACAAUUUACAAUAGCUCUGACUGCUCCUACACUUUUUCAUCAUGUUGCUAUCAAGUCACAGCGUCGGUAUCUGUGUCUUGGCAGUACUGCAAUGUGAAGUAACGCUCCUUUGACUGUCUUUCACGCUCUACAGUGUCUAGUGCCUUUUGAUUGACGCAGAACACAGUUCAUGCAAUUACAUCUUUGGAAGGUUCAGGUCAAAGCUAAUACGUGCCCCGUGUGUGUGUGGGCAGAUGUGAAUGAGUCACUUUGUGAGUCAUAAACUGAAUUAGUUUUGACAUAAAUUGCUGUUAAUGCUAUUUGCUCUGUGGGUGACAGAUUACAUCUGAAGCUGCAAACUGGUUUCUUUACUAUAUUAAAAAUACAAAUGUAUAGAAAUACAUGUUGGGUCAUAUUGAAUUUAAAAGAAUAACCCUAACCCUUUUUAUUCGGUAAAAUACAUGACAAGGUGUCAAGCAAAAUGUAGCAAUCUCUGACCACGUGGUCAUUUUUAACAAAUAUAUUUCACAACACAGCAGCAACAGAACCAGUGUUGUAAUAGUGGUAAGGAGCAAACUUGUCAGCCAGCAUUAAUAGUGCUGAAGAGUUUAUUGUAUAAUAAUGAAAUAAUGCGCCAAGUGUCACACACGAGUUUCACACCAAUAGCUCAGUAUAGCGCAGCCAACAUUCUAAAGCGCAUGCAGAGGUAGAUAAAGCUACUGGAGGUAGCUCACUCAUUAUAGCAUAAUUUCUGGUGUAUAAGCCGCUACUUUUUUCUCAUGCUUUGAACCCUGUGGCUUGUAGAGUGAUGCGGCUAAUUUAUGGCUAAAAAUGGCAUUUCCCAUGAUGCUCAGAGUGCAGCUUCAGGACGUGGGUGAGUGAAGUGAAAGCUAAUAUCACGUUUUGAUGUCUUAUGCAGCGAUCUCUGACACAUCUCAAGUAAGUUUGAUCAAGUGUGGAAUUACUACAGCUUGUUUGGGCUACUCCACUAUCUCUAACGGGUUUCGAAAGGCUUGACUACUGCGUGAUGAAGAGCUAAAGCUAAAGUGACACAAAGAGUGCCAACGAAAAAAAGAGCGAGAGACUGACAAAGUGUGUGUGACGAAGGAAUUGUGAGGCUGUUCAAAUGUGAUGCUGAAGAAGACAAUUUUUGUUCCCAGGAGAAGGACGGCGGCGAUGGAUGACUUUUCCUGUGAAAAGAAAAAAACUUUGGCUGCCAAGAUGGUGGAUCGUAUAUCUAAGCUCACCAGAAGGUGAUCAGAGUUUUACAACAAAGUAUCAGCACUUUUCCUGGAAAAGGAAAGGCUGCAUGUACUUCAUAUACACAUAAAAGGAAGUUUGGAUAAGAAGAAGGCGGCUCCUGUUACUUUCCUGAUAGGAGUGUGGGAGGGAAACCUCAGGUGUGUCUCUCAUGAAGCAAGCCAAAAAAUGUGAGUAAAGAGGAGGAAGCGCACACCCACAGACGAGCCGAUGAUCGAUUGGCUCUGUCACACACUUGAGUGUAACCCGCACUGCCCGCACCGGGGCUCGAACACAGGACCUUCGGAAUGGGAGACGAGAGCGCGGACCACACGGCCAAAAGCCCGGACAGUCGACCGCGUGUUCAGCGCAGCUCUCAAGGCAGAGCGAUUUCUCUGCUGUGAGACGGACGGCGUCACGCAGUGACCUCGGCCAGCCGGAGGUAUCCUCGCGGCGCCUGGCAGGCACUCUCCAGCAGACAGCGACGUUAAAUGUUCCCUCUGCUUGACAAGCGCCUUACCAAAGCUUUGGCAAUAAAUUAGAUCAAAGACUAUUGGUUUUAUGGACAAUCUGUGUUAAUAGAAAACUCUCAAAACACUAAGUAGUUGUUUCUUGCUGUUCAGUGGAGAGUAAACGGUUUAUAUCACUGAUCCUCAGCAACUGAUGUCACUGUGCCGCAACGUUAAGUUGCCGAUGUUUGGCAACACAGCUCAUGUCCGUGGUUUCAGCACAUGGAAGCCCAGUUCUAACUGUGAGGAACAACGCAGACAUGACAAAGUAUUACCACACAUUGGCCGCACUCGACCUCCACUUUCUCUCAUACCGUAGGACCGUAGGACUGUACGACGGACUAUUUAAGCACUUUUGAAACUUUUUCAUACCGUUGUAAACCUUGAAACCAGAAGAAUACUGCGUAUCACAAUUUGAAUGUGUCCCCUUAUGCCUUAUAUUUGUAUUUUUGUUCAUUUAGCAAUUUUUAUGCUUGAAAAUGCUUAAUUUGGGCAAAAAAUAUGCUUAAGUAUGCACAUUUUUUUUAUUAAUAGGCAAUAUUAAACCACAAAACAGCAUGAUUUAUUAACAUUUCUGAAAAAACGUGAUACUGAAGAGUCAAGUGGCAAAAUUCGAACCGUGAUGUGUAACUUAAAUUAAUCCUGUUUCAUUUUGCAUGAGCACAGAGACUCAAGAAAGAUUGAGAGCGACGCGUUAGCCAAAGUGCAAGCAAAAUCCCAGACUAACGUUUGUGUUUUGUUUUUUACGUCGGUCGACUCUU